CCCUUAGAUGUUCUGGGCUGCACGCGCGCUACAAUGGCGUUUUCAAAAAGAUUGCUAAUCCGAAAGGACCAGCGGAUCUUCGAAGUGGCGUCGUGAUCGGGACAGUUGAUUGCAAUUAUUCGACUCGAACGAGGAAUUCCUUGUAAUCGUGCGUCAUCAGCGCACGCUGAAUACGUCCCUGUUCUUUGUACACACCGCCCGUCGCUCCUACCGAUCGAGCGAUCCAAUGAAUGUUUCGGAGCGGAACUGAGAUGCUAAUGCGUCCCUUUUACGCGAAUUUGUGUGAAUUUGAUCGCUUAGAGGAAGGAGAAGUCGUAACA
Molecule: ribosomal RNA, 320 nt
Filed under: uncultured eukaryote
Lineage: Eukaryota
Description: partial 18S ribosomal RNA
Rfam family: Eukaryotic small subunit ribosomal RNA
Source: RNAcentral